UUUGUUUAUUCAAAAACAAACAAAAAAUAGUCUGUGAAUGUACCGAGUGGGUUGUAGUCACUUACCUUGUCCAUUUCCCUGUCUGGAUUGCAAAUUUGAAUCUUUUCCUAUGGUGAGAGAGACUUGAAAGAUAAAUUUUUCUGUGUGUGUAUGUGACUUAAUACAUACAAUAAUAUGGAUAAAUAGAAUGGUGUGGCACAAUUUGGUUACAAUCUGACAUGACUACUGCCUUA
Molecule: long non-coding RNA, 233 nt
Filed under: Homo sapiens (human)
Lineage: Eukaryota; Metazoa; Chordata; Mammalia; Primates; Hominidae
Description: non-protein coding lnc-TXNDC2-3:1
Source: RNAcentral